This 67-nucleotide transfer RNA is filed under the name Marmota monax (woodchuck). RNAcentral describes it as "tRNA.Ala". It matches the Rfam family "tRNA". Rfam says of the family: Transfer RNA (tRNA) molecules are approximately 80 nucleotides in length. Lineage: Eukaryota; Metazoa; Chordata; Mammalia; Rodentia; Sciuridae. The record is from RNAcentral.
GGUCGUGGCUCAGUGGUAGAGCACUUGCCUAGCAUGUGUGAGGCACUGGGUUCAAUCCUCAGCACCA